RNAcentral lists this ribosomal RNA (512 nucleotides) under uncultured bacterium. Its description in RNAcentral is "bacterial SSU rRNA". It matches the Rfam family "Bacterial small subunit ribosomal RNA", at positions 17 to 518 of the family's 1533-position model. The record is from RNAcentral.
UUAUGGCUCAGGAUGAACGCUGGCGGCGUGCCUAACACAUGCAAGUCGAACGGGACUAUCAAGUGAUGUUUCGGACUGAACUUUAGUUAGUGGCGGACGGGUGAGUAACGCGUGGACAACCUGCCUCUCACUGGGGGAUAGCAGCUGGAAACGGCUGGUAAUACCGCAUGCGUUCAAUGUGCCGCAUGACGCAUUGAAGAAAGAUUUAUCGGUGAGAGAGUGGGUCCGCGUCUGAUUAGCCAGUUGGCGGGGUAACGGCCCACCAAAGCGACGAUCAGUAGCCGGCCUGAGAGGGUGAACGGCCACAUUGGGACUGAGACACGGCCCAAACUCCUACGGGAGGCAGCAGUGGGGAAUAUUGCACAAUGGGCGCAAGCCUGAUGCAGACCAACGCCGCGUGAGUGAAGAAGUAUUUCGGUAUGUAAAGCUCUAUCGGCAGGGAAGAAAGGCCCGCAAGGGAGAUGACGGUACCUGACUAAGAACGCCCCGGCUAACUACGUGCCAGCCGCCGC